GAUGAACGCUGGCGGCGUGCCUAAUACAUGCAAGUCGAGCGAACAGACGAGGAGCUUGCUCCUCUGAUGUUAGCGGCGGACGGGUGAGUAACACGUGGAUAACCUACCUAUAAGACUGGGAUAACUUCGGGAAACCGGAGCUAAUACCGGAUAACAUGUUGAACCGCAUGGUUCAACAGUGAAAGACGGUCUUGCUGUCACUUAUAGAUGGAUCCGCGCCGCAUUAGCUAGUUGGUAAGGUAACGGCUUACCAAGGCAACGAUGCGUAGCCGACCUGAGAGGGUGAUCAGCCACACUGGAACUGAGACACGGUCCAGACUCCUACGGGAGGCAGCAGUAGGGAAUCUUCCGCAAUGGGCGAAAGCCUGACGGAGCAACGCCGCGUGAGUGAAGAAGGUCUUCGGAUCGUAAAACUCUGUUAUUAGGGAAGAACAAAUGUGUAAGUAGCUAUGCACGUCUUGACGGUACCUAAUCAGAAAGCCACGGCUAACUACGUG
RNAcentral lists this ribosomal RNA (497 nucleotides) under uncultured bacterium. RNAcentral describes it as "partial 16S ribosomal RNA". It matches the Rfam family "Bacterial small subunit ribosomal RNA", at positions 28 to 507 of the family's 1533-position model. The record is from RNAcentral.